CAGCCGCCGCGGUAAUACGUAGGGGGCAAGCGUUAUCCGGAAUUACUGGGUGUAAAGGGAGCGUAGACGGUUAAACAAGUCUGAAGUGAAAUGCCGGGGCUCAACCCCGGAGCUGCUUUGGGAACUGUAGAACUGGAGUGUCGGAGGGGUAAGCGGAAUUCCCAGUGUAGCGGUGAAAUGCGUAGAUAUUGGGAGGAACACCGGCGGCGAAGGCGGCUUACUGGACGACAACUGACGUUGAGGCUCGAAGGCGUGGGUAGCAAACAGGAUUAGAUACCCGGGUAGUCCCUGUCUCUUAUAC
This 301-nucleotide ribosomal RNA is filed under the name uncultured bacterium. RNAcentral's name for it is "partial 16S ribosomal RNA". It matches the Rfam family "Bacterial small subunit ribosomal RNA", at positions 509 to 807 of the family's 1533-position model. The record is from RNAcentral.